AGCGAACGCUGGCGGCAGGCCUAACACAUGCAAGUCGAACGAACCUUUCGGGGUUAGUGGCGGACGGGUGAGUAACACGUGGGAACGUGCCUUUAGGUUCGGAAUAACUCAGGGAAACUUGUGCUAAUACCGAAUGUGCCCUUCGGGGGAAAGAUUUGUCGCCUUUAGAUCGGCCCGCGUCUGAUUAGCUAGUUGGUUGAGGUAAUGGCUCACCAAGGCGACGAUCAGUAGCUGGUCUGAGAGGAUGAUCAGCCACAUUGGGACUGAGACACGGCCCAAACUCCGACGGGAGGCAGCAGUGGGGAAUCUUGCGCAAUGGGCGAAAGCCUGACGCAGCCAUGCCGCGUGAAUGAGGAAGGUCUUAGGAUUGUAAAAUUGUUUCACCGGGGACGAUAAUGACGGUACCCGGAGAAGAAGCCCCGGCUAACUUCGUG
Molecule: ribosomal RNA, 434 nt
Filed under: uncultured bacterium
Lineage: Bacteria
Description: partial 16S ribosomal RNA
Rfam family: Bacterial small subunit ribosomal RNA
Source: RNAcentral